AGUGAACGCUGGCGGUAGGCCUAACACAUGCAAGUCGAACGGCAGCACAGUAAGAGCUUGCUCUUACGGGUGGCGAGUGGCGGACGGGUGAGGUAUACAUCGGAAUCUACUUUUUCGUGGGGGAUAACGUAGGGACACUUACGCUAAUACCGCAUACGACCUACGGGUGAAAGCAGGGGAUCUUCGGACCUUGCGCGAUUGAAUGAGCCGAUGUCGGAUUAGCUAGUUGGCGGGGUAAAGGCCCACCAAGGCGACGAUCCGUAGCUGGUCUGAGAGGAUGAUCAGCCACACUGGAACUGAGACACGGUCCAGACUCCUACGGGAGGCAGCAGUGGGGAAUAUUGGACAAUGGGCGCAAGCCUGAUCCAGCCAUACCGCGUGGGUGAAGAAGGCCUUCGGGUUGUAAAGCCCUUUUGUUGGGAAAGAAAAGCAGCAGGUUAAUACCCCGCUGUUCUGACGGUACCCAAAGAAUAAGCACCGGCUAACUUCGUG
This 492-nucleotide ribosomal RNA is filed under the name uncultured bacterium. Its description in RNAcentral is "partial 16S ribosomal RNA". It matches the Rfam family "Bacterial small subunit ribosomal RNA", at positions 29 to 507 of the family's 1533-position model. The record is from RNAcentral.